AUGGAAGCCACUCCUCCAUGCACGUGCAAAGGCUUGGGCUCGAUCGUCAUCCUCACUACCUGGACCAUCUGGAAGCAUCGCAACACAUGUAUUUACGACAACGCUUAACCUUCUAUCAUGGCCAUGAUCAACUCAAUCAAGAAGGAGGCACAAUGUUGGGGAAAAGCAGGCUCCCGCGACAUCGAUAGCAUCAUGUAA
RNAcentral lists this ribosomal RNA (198 nucleotides) under Triticum aestivum (bread wheat). Its description in RNAcentral is "partial small subunit ribosomal RNA". Lineage: Eukaryota; Viridiplantae; Streptophyta; Magnoliopsida; Poales; Poaceae. The record is from RNAcentral.